Molecule: non-coding RNA, 123 nt
Organism: Caenorhabditis elegans
Lineage: Eukaryota; Metazoa; Nematoda; Chromadorea; Rhabditida; Rhabditidae
Source: Ensembl
AGUCUCUACACCAAAAAAUGCACAUCAGAUUAGGGAAAAUAGGCGAUAAGACGGAUGGAUGGGUACCGGAAGCUCCUAAACUCGUCACUCGGUAGAGAUUCGAUCAACCGGAAUACGAGAGAA